CUGUUUUUUUUGUGCCUCUGGUAUGCAAUUAUGUGCUUUCUGUCGCCUCUUGGUAUAUAGCUAUUUGGGUGGUGUUUAUCUCUGCAUUGGAUAAUUUGUGACUACGGAAGGUUUGGUUUUUUAGUGUUUAUUUGCCGAGUUGUGGUAAUUAUUGGAAUUGUUAGGCAGUCAUAGUCAACACUGUGUUUCUUUUAGACAUAUAUAAUAGAAAUUCUUAUAGUAGUUAACUUAAUGUAAUUAUAUCGGCUGUUGUAAUAAUGUUAACUUAAUGGAAAAAAGAGGUUGACUCCUACUUUCUCACGUGAAUNNNNNNNNNNNNNNNNNNNNNNNNNNUGCAUCUAUUCAAGGUCUAAUUAGUUUUUAUUUUUGGCUAGCUAGUUAUCUUUCUAAUUAGAACAUCUUGAUGAUUUAGGUUUCUCCUCUUCCUUUUAAAGUCAUUGAGAAAGUGUUAAAGGAUAAUCUCAAACCCGAUUUCUCUAAGAUGUAAGUUGCACUCACUAACUGAAUUUUGAUUUUAUGAACCCUCAAUCUUUCAUUGUUAUCUUAUAUGAGCUUGUUUCUGUUAAUAUUUUGGUAUAUUUUCUAUUCAUAUAUAUGGUUCCUUACUUAAAAUAGAGUUUCCUUGAAUCAAGCUAAUAAUUUCAAUUAUGUUUUAGGUUGUUUCAAGUGAUUUUAAUUUACUUUAAGGAAUUAGUGUCCGUAGAUUCUCUCUAUCCAUUGUCAAUUAAUUGAUAUUAGAGCUUUUGGUUGAUAGUUACUUUAUGUUUUUCCCCUUUCCUUUUUAUUCUAUUAUGUUAAUUAUUUUUGUUUUUGAUUAGUUUGUUCUCGAUUGCGAGACCGCGCCCUUCAAAGUUCAAACCCUCUGAGCGAAGUUGCUCCCCUUCAGUUUGUUCUUUUUUCUCUGCUCUGUGGCAAAUUUUCUGCUCUGUUAGACUAUAAUUUUCGCAGGUGUUUUGAUGGAGUUUGUGGCUGUCAAUAAUAAAUCAUGGUCUAAUGGACAUAGGUAUUUGAGUUGUUGGCCUCUGUUUUAGGCGCUAGAUCUUUCUUUUACAGGUUCAUUCAGCACCGUGGUGGAGAUCUUGUGUAUGGUGUGCAUAGCUUUGUCUGGUUGUUGCUAGUUCUUUGUAUCAAGUAAUCUUUAAGAUUCUUUUUAUUUCAGGUGUAAGGCGAAAGGCUUAUGUUAAGAUUCUUGCUUUGUUUCUUCUUUGGUUCCUGUUAUUGCAAGUUUCUGCUUGAAUCAAUUGAAAUGUUUAUAUUUUGAGGUGUUUUUGUGAUGCUCCCAGGGAUGNACAAGAAAAUUAAAGAACCAUUACACCUGGUUUAGACAUGAACAUAGAGGAGAAGGAGAGAUCUUGUAUAUGAUGAAUUUGUGAUGCUGCAAAGUCCAUACCGUGUUCAAUCAAUUUUUUC
This 1410-nucleotide long non-coding RNA is filed under the name Trifolium pratense (red clover). RNAcentral's name for it is "long non-coding RNA (TPRA_LNC005358)". Lineage: Eukaryota; Viridiplantae; Streptophyta; Magnoliopsida; Fabales; Fabaceae. The record is from RNAcentral.